RNAcentral lists this ribosomal RNA (536 nucleotides) under Lentilactobacillus kefiri. RNAcentral describes it as "bacterial SSU rRNA". It matches the Rfam family "Bacterial small subunit ribosomal RNA", at positions 93 to 614 of the family's 1533-position model. The record is from RNAcentral. Lineage: Bacteria; Bacillati; Bacillota; Bacilli; Lactobacillales; Lactobacillaceae.
GAGUGGCGAACUGGUGAGUAACACGUGGGUAACCUGCCCUUGAAGUAGGGGAUAACACUUGGAAACAGGUGCUAAUACCGUAUAACAACCAAAACCACAUGGUUUUGGUUUAAAAGAUGGCUUCGGCUAUCACUUUAGGAUGGACCCGCGGCGUAUUAGCUUGUUGGUAAGGUAAUGGCCUACCAAGGCAAUGAUACGUAGCCGACCUGAGAGGGUAAUCGGCCACAUUGGGACUGAGACACGGCCCAAACUCCUACGGGAGGCAGCAGUAGGGAAUCUUCCACAAUGGACGAAAGUCUGAUGGAGCAACGCCGCGUGAGUGAUGAAGGGUUUCGGCUCGUAAAACUCUGUUGUUGGAGAAGAACAGGUGUCAGAGUAACUGUUGACAUCUUGACGGUAUCCAACCAGAAAGCCACGGCUAACUACGUGCCAGCAGCCGCGGUAAUACGUAGGUGGCAAGCGUUGUCCGGAUUUAUUGGGCGUAAAGCGAGCGCAGGCGGUUUCUUAGGUCUGAUGUGAAAGCCUUCGGCUUAACC